Molecule: ribosomal RNA, 253 nt
Filed under: uncultured bacterium
Lineage: Bacteria
Description: partial 16S ribosomal RNA
Rfam family: Bacterial small subunit ribosomal RNA
Source: RNAcentral
CACGUAGGCACCAAGCGUUGUCCGGAUUUAUUGGGCGUAAAGAGCUCGUAGGCGGUCUGUCGCGUCGGAUGUGAAAAUCCAGGGCUCAACCCUGGACCUGCAUUCGAUACGGGCAGACUAGAGUUCGGCAGGGGAGACUGGAAUUCCUGGUGUAGCGGUGAAAUGCGCAGAUAUCAGGAGGAACACCGGUGGCGAAGGCGGGUCUCUGGGCCGAUACUGACGCUGAGGAGCGAAAGCGUGGGGAGCGAACAGG